RNAcentral lists this ribosomal RNA (492 nucleotides) under uncultured bacterium. Its description in RNAcentral is "partial 16S ribosomal RNA". It matches the Rfam family "Bacterial small subunit ribosomal RNA", at positions 29 to 507 of the family's 1533-position model. The record is from RNAcentral.
AGUGAACGCUGGCGGUAGGCCUAACACAUGCAAGUCGAACGGCAGCACAGUAAGAGUUUGCUCUUACGGGUGGCGAGUGGCGGACGGGUGAGGAAUACAUCGGAACCUACUUUUUCGUGGGGGAUAACGUAGGGAAACUUACGCUAAUACCGCAUACGACCUACGGGUGAAAGCAGUGGAUCUUCGGACCUUGCGCGAUUGAAUGAGCCGAUGUCGGAUUAGCUAGUGGGCGGGGUAAAGGCCCACCAAGGCGAGGAUCCGUAGCUGGUCUGAGAGGAGGAUCGGCGACACUGGAACUGAGACACGGUCCAGACUCCUACGGGAGGCAGCAGUGGGGAAUAGUGGGCAAUGGGCGCAAGCCUGAUCCAGCCAUACCGCGUGGGUGAAGAAGGCCUUCGGGUUGUAAAGCCCUUUUGUUGGGAAAGAAAAGCAGCAGGUUGAUACCCCGCUGUUCUGACGGUACCCAAAGAAUAAGCACCGGCUAACUUCGUG